Esox lucius (northern pike) is the source of this 988-nucleotide long non-coding RNA. The record is from Ensembl. NCBI's taxonomy places the organism in Eukaryota, Metazoa, Chordata, Actinopteri, Esociformes, Esocidae.
GAUUUUAUGACAACUAAUCUUUUGUCUAAAUUACAAUAUUUGUGGAUGUGGUUGUAGUUAUUUGCUGGCUAAUAACAAUAAGCUUUGAGUGAGACCUAUGGCAGCUAAAGUUACAGUUUAGCUGCUAACCAGCAAAGUUGCACAUGCUUUUCAAUCCGGUUGGUUCCUGUGUUGCUUGAAGGACAGCAAUAUGUCCUGACCUACAGGUUCAGCCAGGACCACUUGGAGCUUCUCUUCAACUCCCUCAGAGUAUCUGAGGCAAUGUGACGGCACAGGAUGACACAGAGUCCCUACCAGCUGUCAUCGACACCUCUACAAGCCUGUCAGCUGUAGAUGUGUCCUCUGCAGCAGUAGGAGAAGAUCUUCUAUCCCCGUUUCCUGACAUUCCUGCCCUAGUACAUGAUCACAGCUACCUUCCAUUCACUUCGAUGGUCUUGUGGACAACGCUCUCAUGUACAUUUCAGGCUCUGAAGAAGCUUUCGUGUGAUGUCUGCCGUGCCAGCCUGGUGACAUGCUGCAUCUGCCAUCAAGGACCAGAGCUACCACCUGCUGAAUUUAAAAAACAAUGGAGGUCUGGUGAUUCCAUCAGAGGGAACCGUGAGUGUCGUCAGGGCAGCAGAGUGGGUCAUUCGGCAGUACCAGACGAUCACAGCCCAUCAUACUGCUUGAGGUUGUUUACAUUGUCUGAAAAAGGAUCGGUUCAGAGGAUGUUUGUGUUGGGAUAGACAGUAUGGGAUAGACAUCCACCACCAUAGGCUGUUAAAAAUUAUUCUGUCCCUGUUUUUUAAGUUAAGGCUGCACCACAUCGCCAGAAUUACAAUCCUCAGCUUACAGAGCAACAACAUGCAACAGAAACUUAAUAAAACUGUCCUUUUCAAAGGGCAUUAGCCCAAGGUAUGUGUUUUCAAGGUACUGUCCUCUUUUACUUCAACAGUAGUGUAGUGCUCUCUACAGCAUUUAUUUAUUUGUAUAUAUAAAUGAUUUAUUU